RNAcentral lists this ribosomal RNA (1095 nucleotides) under Microbacterium sp. 9FB5. Its description in RNAcentral is "bacterial SSU rRNA". It matches the Rfam family "Bacterial small subunit ribosomal RNA", at positions 60 to 1181 of the family's 1533-position model. Lineage: Bacteria; Bacillati; Actinomycetota; Actinomycetes; Micrococcales; Microbacteriaceae. The record is from RNAcentral.
AGUCGACGGUGAAGCCAAGCUUGCUUGGUGGAUCAGUGGCGAACGGGUGAGUAACACGUGAGCAACCUGCCCUGGACUCUGGGAUAAGCGCUGGAAACGGCGUCUAAUACUGGAUAUGAGCUCCUUCCGCAUGGUGGGGGUUGGAAAGAUUUUUCGGUCUGGGAUGGGCUCGCGGCCUAUCAGCUUGUUGGUGAGGUAAUGGCUCACCAAGGCGUCGACGGGUAGCCGGCCUGAGAGGGUGACCGGCCACACUGGGACUGAGACACGGCCCAGACUCCUACGGGAGGCAGCAGUGGGGAAUAUUGCACAAUGGGCGGAAGCCUGAUGCAGCAACGCCGCGUGAGGGAUGACGGCCUUCGGGUUGUAAACCUCUUUUAGCAGGGAAGAAGCGAAAGUGACGGUACCUGCAGAAAAAGCGCCGGCUAACUACGUGCCAGCAGCCGCGGUAAUACGUAGGGCGCAAGCGUUAUCCGGAAUUAUUGGGCGUAAAGAGCUCGUAGGCGGUUUGUCGCGUCUGCUGUGAAAUCCCGAGGCUCAACCUCGGGCCUGCAGUGGGUACGGGCAGACUAGAGUGCGGUAGGGGAGAUUGGAAUUCCUGGUGUAGCGGUGGAAUGCGCAGAUAUCAGGAGGAACACCGAUGGCGAAGGCAGAUCUCUGGGCCGUAACUGACGCUGAGGAGCGAAAGGGUGGGGAGCAAACAGGCUUAGAUACCCUGGUAGUCCACCCCGUAAACGUUGGGAACUAGUUGUGGGGACCAUUCCACGGUUUCCGUGACGCAGCUAACGCAUUAAGUUCCCCGCCUGGGGAGUACGGCCGCAAGGCUAAACUCAAAGGAAUUGACGGGGACCCGCACAAGCGGCGGAGCAUGCGGAUUAAUUCGAUGCAACGCGAAGAACCUUACCAAGGCUUGACAUAUACGAGAACGGGCCAAAAUGGUCAACUCUUUGGACACUCGUAAACAGGUGUGCAUGGUGUCGUCAGCUCGUGUCGUGAGAUGUGGGUUAAGUCCUGCACGAGCGCACCUCGUUCUAUGUGCCAGCACGUAAUGGUGCUACUCAUGGUAUACUGCAGGGUCACUCGGACGACGGUGGGAUG